This 398-nucleotide long non-coding RNA is filed under the name Struthio camelus australis. Its description in RNAcentral is "lncRNA (ENSSCUG00000004879.1)". Lineage: Eukaryota; Metazoa; Chordata; Aves; Struthioniformes; Struthionidae. The record is from RNAcentral.
CCUAAAGUCACUUCCCCGCGUUUAUGGAGCAGGGUGAGGAGGGGAGUUGGAACAAGCACCCAUAAAUACAGAGAAACCUCCAUGUAACAGAAGUAACAUUGAGAGGGAAGUCAAUAGCAGGUCCUGUAACAAACAGCUCUUAUCAAGCCUGGUCGGUCUGAUUUACCCCUUGGAGCAAUCAGUGGAUCAGUUCCUGUUGGCUGGCUGUACAGGGAAAGGGCUAAGGCCAGCAGCCGUCCGGAGACGAAGCUGGACGACCUUGCAUCCUCUGCUCUGCUGCUUGUCACAACAGAUGAGAGACGCGGAAGGGAGGGAUGUGGCUGGAUGACAUAACAGAACACCAGAGCUUAAGAGAGAGUGUGUUAGAGAGAAGAAAUAAACUGUGUAAGCUGCCAGCA